RNAcentral lists this ribosomal RNA (470 nucleotides) under uncultured bacterium. RNAcentral describes it as "partial 16S ribosomal RNA". It matches the Rfam family "Bacterial small subunit ribosomal RNA", at positions 29 to 507 of the family's 1533-position model. The record is from RNAcentral.
AUUGAACGCUGGCGGCAGGCCUAACACAUGCCAGUCGAACGGUAACAGGAAGCAGCUUGCUGCUUUGCUGACGAGUGGCGGACGGGUGAGUAAUGUCUGGGAAACUGCCUGAUGGAGGGGGAUAACUACUGGAAACGGUAGCUAAUACCGCAUAACGUCUCAAGACCAAAGAGGGGGACCUUCGGGCGCCUUGGCUGGGGAUGUGCCCAGGUUGGAUUAGCUAGCUGGUGGAGUAGUGGCUCACCUAGGCGACGACGGGUAGCUGGCCUGAGAGGAUGACCGGCAAAAGGGGGACUGAGAUACGGCCCAGACGACUAGGGGAGGCAGCAGUGGGGAAUAUGGAACAAUGGGCGGAAGCCGGAUGCAGCAACGCUGGGUGCGGGAUGACGGCCGUCGGGUGGUAAACCGCUGUCGCCGGGGACGAAGCGUGAGUGACGGGAACGGGUAAAGAAGCACCGGCUAACUACGUG